This 442-nucleotide ribosomal RNA is filed under the name uncultured bacterium. Its description in RNAcentral is "partial 16S ribosomal RNA". It matches the Rfam family "Bacterial small subunit ribosomal RNA", at positions 338 to 795 of the family's 1533-position model. The record is from RNAcentral.
CCUACGGGUGGCAGCAGUAGGGAAUCUUUCACAAUGGGCGAAAGCCUGAUGGAGCAACGCCGCGUGCAGGAUGAAGGCCUUCGGGUUGUAAACUGCUUUUAUAAGCGAGAAAUAUGAUGGUAACUUAUGAAUAAGGAUCGGCUAACUACGUGCCAGCAGCCGCGGUCAUACGUAGGAUCCGAGCAUUAGCCGGAGUGACUGGGUGUAAAGAGUUGCGUAGGUGGCAUAAUAAGUAGCUAUUGAAAUCUGGUGGCUCAACCAUUCAGACUAUUAGCUAAACUGUUAAGCUCGAGACCGUUAGGGGUAACUGGAAUUUCGAGUGUAGGAGUGAAAUCCGUAGAUAUUAGAAGGAACACCAAUAGCGUAGGCAGGUUGCUGGGACGGUUCUGACACUAAGGCACGAAAGCGUAGGGAGCAAACGGGAUUAGAUACCCGGGUAGUC